UGUAGCAAGUUUCACAAAGUAAAAAACAAAAAUUAAAGACAAGCACUCCAUAUCUGAAAUUACAAGAAAUGACCUAAAACUAAAUAUCUAUUUUCCUAGGCAGCACACACUUGACCACCAUAGCAGCUUGCCGGACCGUUGUAUCUGUGGAGCACAAAACAACAGUCAGCAUGAUUAGAAAUUUUAAGGAGAGCAGUGCUAGUUUAAGAGUUAUGAACAGAUAUAAAUGGUGCAUAAAUUCCUAUUAUUCAACAAACAUAAGUUAUUUCCAAGUGAAACAUGGGGCAAUGUUAUCCACUUCAAAACAGAACAGAACACAUAGGUACACACAUUGUAAAGUUUUUUCCACAAAUGAGUUACUGAUUGAGUUCAAGAAAUGACCAAGGGCCUAAUUGGUUCACAGGACCUAAAAACUCAUAAAUAGGGAAAUCACUGGGUUGCAAUGUCAUGCCCUCUCUUGAUACAAUAUGUUCGACAUGAUGUUUGAGUGCAUCAUAGAAAACCAUAGGAGUUUUUCAAGGAUGCAUAUUACAAUCAUAUGGAAUAAUUUGAAGCAGAGAGGCCCCAAAAGGGGAAAUCAUGUUGUGUGGGAAAAGAGAAUACCAUUCACCGUAAUGAAAAAUAUAGCAUGCCAGAAUCACUAUUCUAGAGCACAUAUCCGUACCAAAACAUUUAUAGUGUUUCCAACUCUUCUAAGCAUGUUAGAACACUAUGAGGACAAUAAAAUUGAGUUAUCUAAGCAAUUUGAUAAUCAAAUGGAGUUAACACGGGCCCCAGGGUUAGGGAUUUAGUGACGGCAACAGUCUGCCAGCCGGCUUCCUCAAUAGAAGGGACAGACCCAGUGCUAGAAGCAGAACAAGAACGUUGAUACACAAGAUAAGCACAAGCCCUUGAGAGCAGUCUGCUUGGCAGAACAAUUAAUUAACCUCUAGAAGCAGAAGAAGCACAUUGAUAGACAAGUUAUUAUGAAGAACCAACCUUGAGAGCGGUCUGCUUGCGCAAGAUAUCAUUGGACUUGAACAUGACUGCGGCAAUCCAGAUCAUGACAAAGAAACCUACACAAUUUAAACUCAAUUGGAAUGAGG
This 1085-nucleotide long non-coding RNA is filed under the name Triticum aestivum (bread wheat). RNAcentral's name for it is "long non-coding RNA (TAES_LNC011991)". The record is from RNAcentral. Lineage: Eukaryota; Viridiplantae; Streptophyta; Magnoliopsida; Poales; Poaceae.